UAAUAAUUAAUAUUUUUAAUUUUAUUCAGUAAUUAAAUAAAAUAAAUAAAUAAAUGGAAUAUAUUUGAACACAUACAGACUCUUACAUACCUCCUUGAAAUAAUUACAUUAUUUGUCAUACAGCCUGAAAUCAAAUCACAUUCCAAAUAACUUUUAUCAGCCUUUGGAAUAUUUCUGUUGCCUUCUCUUAAUCUGUGCCUUUCUACAACUUCAUCCCGAAGGUCUUUUGAAUGUACUGUGUGUAAA
Molecule: long non-coding RNA, 246 nt
Filed under: Danio rerio (zebrafish)
Lineage: Eukaryota; Metazoa; Chordata; Actinopteri; Cypriniformes; Danionidae
Description: si:ch211-68a17.2 (ENSDARG00000096914.2)
Source: RNAcentral